Long non-coding RNA from Brassica napus (rape), 783 nucleotides. RefSeq lists it as uncharacterized. The transcript is spliced from 2 exons. NCBI's taxonomy places the organism in Eukaryota, Viridiplantae, Streptophyta, Magnoliopsida, Brassicales, Brassicaceae. The record is from RefSeq and is a predicted model, not a curated record.
UUUAAUCUUAGAUUUUAUAUUCAAAUGGUUGAUAACAAAUGGCAAGGACUGUGUCAGAUUUAAUAAUAGUCAUUGAUUAAAUUUUAAUCUAACGGUGGAGAAUCAAUUUCAACCUCUUUCUUUUGUCCUUUUAUGUGUACUGAGAAACGAUCCAUAAACUUGUUUUCUUCACAUUUUUUUCAGAUUCAGAUCUCUAUCUUCUCAUUACACGUUUCUCUUUUCUUCUUUCUCUUCUCUACGUUUCUUCUCUGUCUACUGAUUUGUUUAUUUUUUUCUCUGUUUUAUUUAAUGAAUCUCGUCUUCUUUCUAUCUCAUCUUCUUCUGUGUCUCUGCUGAAGCUUGUCGUGUGCCGUACUCGUUCUCACCACUCUAGUUCAUCACCUCUCUUCUCAAAAUUCAAGAUUAAAGGUGUGGAGGAAGAAGAAAAGCUCGACGGUGGUGGGAUUUGAGAAAAGCGGAGCUGGAUGGUGGAUGCAACAUGGCCACGUGGGAAGAACCGUAAAAAUGGAUCGAAGCGCGUUAGAGAUGCUGGAGACUGGGCCGUCCAAAAAUGGUGGGACACGUGUUGGCUUCUCAAGACUCGAAUUAGUGAUGUGUCCACCUAUGUGGAUAGCAUAUGGGAGAAGCAAACCCAACUUUAUAUAUAAGGAUAUUCUCUCGCAUUUAAAAGAAUAGUUAGCAAAAUGAGUUCAUAGAGCUAUGUAAGAGCAGCUUUAAUGGUAAAAAUCUGCUUGAAUUUCUUAUAUAUAUAUAUUAAUUUUAAAAUAAAAUAUAGUUAAAUAA